RNAcentral lists this ribosomal RNA (468 nucleotides) under uncultured bacterium. Its description in RNAcentral is "partial 16S ribosomal RNA". It matches the Rfam family "Bacterial small subunit ribosomal RNA", at positions 28 to 507 of the family's 1533-position model. The record is from RNAcentral.
GACGAACGCUGGCGGCGUGCUUAACACAUGCAAGUCGAACGGAAAGGCCCUGCUUUUGUGGGGUUCUCGAGUGGCGAACGGGUGAGUAACACGUGAGUAACCUGCCCUUGACUUUGGGAUAACUUCAGGAAACUGGGGCUAAUACCGGAUAGGAGCUCCUGCUGCAUGGUGGGGGUUGGAAAGUUUCGGCGGUUGGGGAUGGACUCGCUGCUUAUCAGCUUGUUUGUGAGGUAGUGGCUUACCAAGGCUUUGACGGGUAGCCGGCCUGGGCGGGUGACCGGCCACAUGGGGACUAAGAUACGGCGCAGCAUCCUACGGGACGCAGUAGUGGAGAACCUUGCACAAUGGCGGGACGCCUGAUGCAGAAACGCCGCGUGCGGGAUGACGGCCUUCGAGUUAAAAACAGCUUUCGACUGUGACGAAGCGUGAGUGACGGUAAUGAGUAAAGAAGCACCGGCUAACUACGUG